UACGUAGGGAGCAAGCGUUAUCCGGAUUUACUGGGUGUAAAGGGCGUGUAGGCGGGCCUGUAAGUUGGGAGUGAAAUCCGGGGGCUUAACCCCCGAACUGCUUUCAAAACUGCGGGUCUUGAGUGAUGGAGAGGCAGGCGGAAUUCCCAGUGUAGCGGUGAAAUGCGUAGAUAUUGGGAGGAACACCAGUGGCGAAGGCGGCCUGCUGGACAUUAACUGACGCUGAGGCGCGUAAGCGUGGGGAGCAAACAGG
Molecule: ribosomal RNA, 253 nt
Filed under: uncultured bacterium
Lineage: Bacteria
Description: partial 16S ribosomal RNA
Rfam family: Bacterial small subunit ribosomal RNA
Source: RNAcentral